CAUUUAUUAUAUAAACAUGCAAUAGGAAACAAUAAAUGCAAUAUGCGCCGUUGGGUUAAUGAAAGUUACGUUAAUUAUAUGAUACUCUGAAUAUGUUAAUCCUGUAAGUCCUACAUCUUUGAAAGCCUGUGACAAAAGCUAUGACUGAUGCUAAAUGUACUUUUUUUGGGCCCCUGCUUGGGCCUCAAUUUGGAGCAUUAUGUAAAAUUGGCCUAGGGCCGCAGCUGUAUGCAUACCUGCAUGUCAGGGUGUUUUGUGCUUAAGAUAUAAACCUUUCCCCUUUAUGAAGCUUUCUAGCUUAUUAGUCGACUAAUUGUAAAAUGUUGAAAAACACUAACAUAGAAAUGUGUACUGGAACUUAAUCAAGGUUCAAACAAACUUCAGAUAGUUGAGAUAAGGUUAAUUGUGAACAGUUCUAAUGCAAAAUUAUGUCUAACAUCCUAUAUAGGAGACGCGAUGGCUGAGCGGUAAAGCUGAGGUCCAAAGGUUCAAAUCUUAGUGAAGGCUGGGAUUUUCCAUUUCGGGAUCUUGAGCGCCUCUGAGUCCACCCAGCUCGAUUGAGUACCUUACAGUUGGUGUAAAGUAAAGGCGGUUGGUUGUUGUGCUUGCCACCUGACAGCCUCGUAAAACCGUGGGCCACAGAAACAGAUGACUUUUACAUCAUCUGCCCUAUUUAUAGAAAAGGUCUGAAAGAGGAACAUAACUCUUUUUACUAAACUACCUAUAUGCCUGAAUACGAAAUAAAAUAUCUAGACAUUUUAUCAUUUUCUUUUAUAAUAAUUCUUUAAAACGCUGAUUAAAAUUUCGCACAGUUUUGUUAUAUUCCAGGACAAAUGACCCGUAGAUAAUAUUAGUGCCCAACAUGCCUACCAGUUGAUAUUUGUAUCAGAAAUUCAGUGUUAGACUAAAAUAAUAAUAAAUAUAUACUUCAUAAAACUAAAGUCACACCAUCAUCAGAAAAUUGAAUGACACUAAUUUAACAAUCACUUACUUCACGAAGCUGAACUAUUGUCUCUUUGUGUCACAGUCAAAGUGGAUCAUUUGUGUUUAAAGUAUGCUCAGGAAGUACAGAACGGUGUCUAAUGUAUGAUUAGAAGUUCCUAGUUAAAUAUGACUAAAUGAUUGUCAUGUCAAGUACAUGGUAAACAUAAAAAUACUACUUCUAGUUUCCUGUUUGUUUGGGGUUUUUGUAUUGGAAAGAUAUGCAAAUUAAAUGAAGAAAAAACAAUUCGGAAUAAAAAGAUCGGACAGAGUGGAAACAAUAUUGAUCUCACUAUUUAAUUAGAACCUGUUAAUAAAACAGACAACUUUAAAAUUCUUGAAGUGUGUAUUAAAAUGGUUAAUUUUGUCGUGAUGGUAUGGCAAUCUGAACAUUAAAAAUAAAAAUAAACUUCAUAGAACCCUAAAUGCUGCUGGCAAAGUCAUUGACAAAAAAACAAAAAAAAAACAACAACAUUUGGGCAGCUGUUUGAGACAAACAUCCAUAAAACAUCCAUAAAAAAGCUAAGAUUCUAGAAAUAAAAAUAAACCCUUGGGUCAGGAUUUUGUGAUAUUACCAUCACAAAAGAGGUACAAGACACCGAUACCAAAGACAGACACACUCUUUUGUUCCCCUGGCAAUCAAAUCAUUAAAUAGAAACAAUUUGAUAUAAACUUUUCAUAUGUAAUGUAUGAGUGAGUCUGGUGUGAAUGUACAUUUUGACUUUUAUAGUUAUAAUGUUUUGUUUAUAAUGCACAAAUUGUAAGAAAAAUUUCCUUACGGACAUGUUUUACUGUUGUUUUUUUUUGGUUUAAAUUAAUGUGUAACUGCUAUUAUAAAGUAAAUGUUUCACUGAUAUAAAAAAUGAAUGUUUCAAUGCUAUUAUAAAAAUGAUUCACUGGUUGUAGCUUUAAAUUUCAGACUCUUCAAUAUGGAUAAUUUUACAGUCUCGCCAUUAUUAGCUAACCGAGCAUCGGCUUAAGACUGACUGUGAUUCGGGAAACCUUUGGGCUAAUGGGAAAAAAUCUCUCAUUUUUAGCCACACAGACCAAUCCUUUUCUUUGAUCAAGUAUCUCAAGGCCUUGCGUCAAAUAUGCAGGACACUUCUUUGCUUUUUCUCGUACACGUAUACAUG
Biomphalaria glabrata is the source of this 2114-nucleotide long non-coding RNA. RefSeq lists it as uncharacterized. The transcript has 2 exons. NCBI's taxonomy places the organism in Eukaryota, Metazoa, Mollusca, Gastropoda, Planorbidae. The record is from RefSeq and is a predicted model, not a curated record.